UACGUAGGGGGCAAGCGUUGUCCGGAAUUAUUGGGCGUAAAGAGCGUGUAGGCGGUCCGGUAAGUCAGCUGUGAAAGUCAAGGGCUCAACCCUUGAAAGCCGGUUGAUACUGUCGGGCUAGAGUGCGGAAGAGGCGAGUGGAAUUCCUGGUGUAGCGGUGAAAUGCGCAGAUAUCAGGAGGAACACCAAUUGCGAAGGCAGCUCGCUGGGACGUAACUGACGCUGAGACGCGAAAGCGUGGGGAGCAAACAGG
Molecule: ribosomal RNA, 253 nt
Filed under: uncultured bacterium
Lineage: Bacteria
Description: partial 16S ribosomal RNA
Rfam family: Bacterial small subunit ribosomal RNA
Source: RNAcentral